Long non-coding RNA from Quercus lobata, 235 nucleotides. RefSeq lists it as uncharacterized. NCBI's taxonomy places the organism in Eukaryota, Viridiplantae, Streptophyta, Magnoliopsida, Fagales, Fagaceae. The transcript is spliced from 2 exons. The record is from RefSeq and is a predicted model, not a curated record.
AUUUUUUUUGUUUUUAGUGUUUGUGUGUGAGGAAUAUUAUUUGGUUGGUUUUUGCUCUCUGAGAUUGUUUUAACCUUUUUCUGUAGCUAGGUUAGUUAAAGACCCAAGAACCCAAAGGCCCAAAGGUUUUGGCUUUGUCACAUACGAAUCAGAGGAAGAGGCUCAGAAGGCUUUGAAGGCCAUGAAUGGCAGGAUAGUUGAUGGAAGACUGAUAUUUGUGGAAGUUGCAAAGACU